GCUCAGCCGGUGGAAACCUGGACGCGCUGCGGGCGCGGGGAGACCUGCGCCAACGCCCACCUGCGGGCCACAGGCGGGAUAAAGCCGCUUCUCUUUGUCCCCAGCAGAGAACCCUCCUUCCUCUAAGUAUUUUCUUCAGCAACUAAACUUGAAGGUGAACUAGGACAGAAGAAAAGGAUUAGAACUUUAGAACUCCAGGACCCAACCUCAAUCCCUUCAAGCACUGUCUGCAAACAGAUGCUAUGCUGGCCUCAGCACCCUGUCUGGUGAAACUGCUCCUUGGGGUGACAUCAGUCGAGUGUGUGAGGCUUCCACGGAUGCCGACUUUUACACCAUGGAAGGGCUUUCUCCUCACUCUCCCUUCUUCAUGCCACUCCAUCCAUGCGCUUUCUCCCCUCCCCAUGGGGUGGGGGGUGGGGGCCUUUCCUCCAGCUGGGAGCAGAGGCCUUGGCCAACUAGAUGUGUCUUCUGGGAUGUCACAGUUGGGCCGGGCCACUGCUCACCUCUUGCACAGGCUGGUGGCUUAAAUAAAACUCCUAUAGCAACUCACAGAGUAUUUGAA
This is a non-coding RNA of Macaca mulatta (Rhesus monkey), 562 nucleotides long. The record is from RefSeq and is a predicted model, not a curated record. NCBI's taxonomy places the organism in Eukaryota, Metazoa, Chordata, Mammalia, Primates, Cercopithecidae.